RNAcentral lists this ribosomal RNA (408 nucleotides) under uncultured bacterium. RNAcentral describes it as "partial 16S ribosomal RNA". It matches the Rfam family "Bacterial small subunit ribosomal RNA", at positions 28 to 526 of the family's 1533-position model. The record is from RNAcentral.
GACGAACGCUGGCGGCGUGCUUAACACAUGCAAGUCGAACGAAGUGGCGAACGGGUGAGUAACGCGUAAUCAACCUGCCCUUCAGAGGGGGACAACAGUUGGAAACGACUGCUAAUACCGCAUACUGAAGGAGGGGAUUGCGUCUGAUUAGCUAGUUGGAGGGGUAACGGCCCACCAAGGCGAUGAUCAGUAGCCGGCCUUGGAGGAUGAACGGCCAAAUUGAGACUGAGACACGGCCCAGACUCCUACGGGAGACAGCAGUGGGGAAUCUUCCGCAAUGGAGGGAAGUCUGACGGAGCAACGCCGCUUGAGGGAUGACGGCCUUCGGGUUGUAAAGCUCUGUUAAUCGGGACGCGGUACCGGAAUAGAAAGCCACGGCUAACUACGUGCCAGCCGCCGCGGUAAUAC